UACAGAGGUCUCAAGCGUUGUUCGGAUUCAUUGGGCGUAAAGGGUGUGUAGGUGGCGCGCUAAGUCGGGUGUGAAAUUUCGGAGCUUAACUCCGAAACUGCAUUCGAUACUGGCGUGCUUGAGUACUGGAGAGGAGACUGGAAUUUACGGUGUAGCAGUGAAAUGCGUAGAUAUCGUAAGGAAGACCAGUGGCGAAGGCGAGUCUCUGGACAGUUACUGACGCUGAGGCACGAAGGCCAGGGGAGCAAACGGG
This 253-nucleotide ribosomal RNA is filed under the name uncultured bacterium. RNAcentral describes it as "partial 16S ribosomal RNA". It matches the Rfam family "Bacterial small subunit ribosomal RNA", at positions 524 to 776 of the family's 1533-position model. The record is from RNAcentral.